UACGAAGGGGGCUAGCGUUGCUCGGAAUCACUGGGCGUAAAGGGCGCGUAGGCGGGUCUUUAAGUCAGGGGUGAAAUCCUGGAGCUCAACUCCAGAACUGCCUUUGAUACUGAAGAUCUUGAGUUCGGGAGGGGUGAGUGGAACUGCGAGUGUAGAGGUGAAAUUCGUAGAUAUUCGCAAGAACACCAGUGGCGAAGGCGGCUCACUGGCCCGAUACUGACGCUGAGGCACGAAAGCGUGGGGAGCAAACAGG
RNAcentral lists this ribosomal RNA (253 nucleotides) under uncultured bacterium. Its description in RNAcentral is "partial 16S ribosomal RNA". It matches the Rfam family "Bacterial small subunit ribosomal RNA", at positions 524 to 776 of the family's 1533-position model. The record is from RNAcentral.